This 690-nucleotide ribosomal RNA is filed under the name uncultured Brevundimonas sp. Its description in RNAcentral is "bacterial SSU rRNA". It matches the Rfam family "Bacterial small subunit ribosomal RNA", at positions 86 to 811 of the family's 1533-position model. The record is from RNAcentral. Lineage: Bacteria; Pseudomonadati; Pseudomonadota; Alphaproteobacteria; Caulobacterales; Caulobacteraceae.
UCGGAGUUAGUGGCGGACGGGUGAGUAACACGUGGGAACGUGCCUUUUGGUUCGGAAUAACUCAGGGAAACUUGUGCUAAUACCGAAUGUGCCCUUCGGGGGAAAGAUUUAUCGCCAUUAGAGCGGCCCGCGUCUGAUUAGCUAGUUGGUGAGGUAAAGGCUCACCAAGGCGACGAUCAGUAGCUGGUCUGAGAGGAUGAUCAGCCACAUUGGGACUGAGACACGGCCCAAACUCCUACGGGAGGCAGCAGUGGGGAAUCUUGCGCAAUGGGCGAAAGCCUGACGCAGCCAUGCCGCGUGAAUGAUGAAGGUCUUAGGAUUGUAAAAUUCUUUCACCGGGGACGAUAAUGACGGUACCCGGAGAAGAAGCCCCGGCUAACUUCGUGCCAGCAGCCGCGGUAAUACGAAGGGGGCUAGCGUUGCUCGGAAUUACUGGGCGUAAAGGGAGCGUAGGCGGACAUUUAAGUCAGGGGUGAAAUCCCGGGGCUCAACCUCGGAAUUGCCUUUGAUACUGGGUGUCUUGAGUAUGAGAGAGGUAUGUGGAACUCCGAGUGUAGAGGUGAAAUUCGUAGAUAUUCGGAAGAACACCAGUGGCGAAGGCGACAUACUGGCUCAUUACUGACGCUGAGGCUCGAAAGCGUGGGGAGCAAACAGGAUUAGAUACCCUGGUAGUCCACGCCGUAAACGAUG